AAGGGAGACCUAAUUCAGGUAUGGGACGAAAAAAAAGUAGUCCCUACCAAGAAUCAAUCCCAAAAGGUCGGAGCGAGGCAAAAUUGGCUUUCAAACUAGGUUCUGGGUUCAUAAAAGACCUGAAUCAGGAACAAGGGCUAUUAGCUCAGGUGGUUAGAGCGCACCCCUGAUAAGGGUGAGGUCCCUGGUUCGAGUCCAGGAUGGCCCACCUGCACAGGUGGCAAAAACAAAGAAGCGAGGAAUCAGCACCUUAUCUUACUUAUAUAGUAAGAGAGAAUGCUGGCUCUGAGUAAAGAGUCCAGAGGAACCUUGAAAACUGCAUAGAGCUAGGUGAAAAAGCCAAAAAAGAAGACCGCAA
RNAcentral lists this transfer RNA (358 nucleotides) under Microcystis aeruginosa. RNAcentral describes it as "16S-23S ribosomal RNA intergenic spacer". The stretch from base 135 to 208 matches the Rfam family "tRNA". Lineage: Bacteria; Bacillati; Cyanobacteriota; Cyanophyceae; Chroococcales; Microcystaceae. The record is from RNAcentral. RNAcentral also lists the same sequence under 1 other name.